RNAcentral lists this ribosomal RNA (470 nucleotides) under uncultured bacterium. Its description in RNAcentral is "SSU rRNA". It matches the Rfam family "Bacterial small subunit ribosomal RNA", at positions 26 to 518 of the family's 1533-position model. The record is from RNAcentral.
AGGAUGAACGCUGGCGGUCUGCUUAACACAUGCAAGUCGAACGGAGUAGAAAUACUUAGUGGCGGACGGGUGAGUAACGCGUGAGAAUCUACCUUCAGGACGGAGACAACAGUUGGAAACGACUGCUAACCCCCGAUGUACUGAAAAGGCAAAUAUUUAUAGCCUGAAGAAGAGCUCGCGUCCGAUUAGCUAGUUGGAGAGGUAAAAGCUCACCAAGGCUGCGAUGGGUAGCUGGUCUGAGAGGACGAUCAGCCACACUGGGACUGAGACACGGCCCAGACUCCUACGGGAGGCAGCAGUGGGAAUCUUGCGCAAUGCGCGAAAGCGUGACGCAGCAACGCCGCGUGGGGGAAGACGGCCUUCGGGUUCGUAAACCCCUUUCGAGGAGGGACGAAGGCAGAGCGGUUAAUAGCCGACUCGGUUGACGGUACCUCCAGAAGAAGCCCGGCUAACUACGUGCCAGCAGCCGC